UCCUACUGAGGUUUGAAGAGUUUCUUCAACUGAUUCUGAGGGUUUACCUUUGAUAUUUUACGUCAAAAUUAGGGGACACACAGAGUCCUCCUUUUCAGCUGUCUUCCUACGUGUUGAACAAUCUGCUCAUUUUCUUCUCCUCCAACUCCUCUGUAUAAUGAAGAAAUGACCUCUCCAUCCACAGGGAUGUGGCAGAUAUGACGCAUGCAUUCAGGUCAGCAGUGCAAAUCUCCGACACGGCCAUUUUUCUCAUCGGGAAAAUGUUUGUCAGCCCCUUGACCAACUUAUUUGGAGAUCUUGGCAACGAAGGGGCUGUUAAGCAAAUGGCACAGAAACCUCUGCUUCUCUUUGAAAGAGACUGCUUUUGAAGGGACAUGAAACUGCAAAAAUACCGGCUUGUAUUAGAAUAUAAAUUCACGUUAAAUGUGUUUUCAGGAAAAGACGAAAAUUGAAGAGAAACCUGAAGUCAUUUCAAGACUGAUGCUGAGCUAUCCUAUCACUCAUUUCCCUGGAACUUAGGCUGAUGAGACAAAGUAUCUCUUCCGUUGUCACAAUUUUCUCUAGGUUAUUUCUGAAAAGGUUUACUCUGGCUUCAGGCAUGGGAAAACAGCAACAACAAAACCUUGUUCUCCAUGUCACUAAGCCAAAAAUUCAAUCUCAAGUUGUUUACAUUCUCAAUUUCCUUAAAAUAUUGGGAUCAUAUAUAGUUCUUUAUUCUGCAUAUUUUCACUUAUUAUAUCAGGGACGUUCCCCAAGUUCUUAAACACUCUUCUAAAAUACUUUAAUGGCUUUGAAAUAUUCUUUCAGUUGAGUGUACCAUUAUUUGUUUAACCAGUCCUCUAUUUUUGGGCAUACAGUUAUUUUUUGUAAUUUUUUACCACUAAAUAAUGCUGUCAUAAUAAUGCCAAAUAAUAUCCAUAUAUAUAUGUAUUUUUUUCUUUCAUCUCAUCUCUGAUCAUGUUGUUAACAUAAAUUUCCUUAAGUAUAAUCGCUGGGCCAAGGAAUAGGAGCACCUUUGAGGACUUCUCUCCACAGACUAGCAUGCUAAAUUGUUCUAUGCCUAUUUCCCACGUGUAAAAUGUUUGGUGACACUGCUUGAAGGUUUCUAUGAGAAAACCCAUUAUCAAAUUGACUGGAAGCAGCAAUUUCUGUUAUCAAAGUAAAUCUAUUGUUAUCAUUA
Molecule: non-coding RNA, 1180 nt
Organism: Leptonychotes weddellii (Weddell seal)
Lineage: Eukaryota; Metazoa; Chordata; Mammalia; Carnivora; Phocidae
Source: RefSeq, a predicted model, not a curated record